This 423-nucleotide ribosomal RNA is filed under the name uncultured bacterium. RNAcentral describes it as "bacterial SSU rRNA". It matches the Rfam family "Bacterial small subunit ribosomal RNA", at positions 355 to 775 of the family's 1533-position model. The record is from RNAcentral.
UGAGGAAUAUUGGUCAAUGGGCGGAAGCCUGAACCAGCCAUCCCGCGUGAAGGAAGAAGGCCUUAUGGGUUGUAAACUUCUUUUCUGUUUGAAGAAUAAGCUCGUCGAGACAAGUGAUGCCGGUAGGACAGGAAUAAGCAUCGGCUAACUCCGUGCCAGCAGCCGCGGUAAUACGGAGGAUGCAAGCGUUAUCCGGAUUUAUUGGGUUUAAAGGGUGCGCAGGUGGUUUAAUAAGUCAGUGGUGAAAGUCUGCCGCUUAACGGUAGGAUUGCCAUUGAUACUGUUGGACUUGAAUAUGGAUGAGGUAGGCGGAAUGUGUAGUGUAGCGGUGAAAUGCUUAGAUAUUACACAGAACACCGAUCGCGAAGGCAGCUUACUAAUCCAUGAUUGACGCUGAGGCACGAAAGCGUGGGGAUCAAACAG